Molecule: long non-coding RNA, 1381 nt
Filed under: Sus scrofa (pig)
Lineage: Eukaryota; Metazoa; Chordata; Mammalia; Artiodactyla; Suidae
Description: lncRNA (ENSSSCG00035069733.1)
Source: RNAcentral
AUACUGGAACCAGCUGCUGUCGGGUGAACCCCAGCUCCACGACUUUCUAGCUGUGCCGUCUUGAGGGCAGGUGACAUCACUCUGUGCCUCAGUUUCCCUUGUCUGGAAGAUGGGGCGAAUAAUCAUAGUAACUACCUUCUAGGGGGCGGUUGUGAAAAUUACAGGAAUUAAAUGCAAAGAGAACAGUUCCUGGCUGACAGCGAGCACCUUGCAGAUUUUAUAAACCAGAGCAGCUGCCUGAAGGUUUCCAAGAGAAAAUUCUGCACAGUUUCUAAUCAGGGUGACAGUUCCCCCUGCACAGGAAGUUGCUUUUAUUAAUUUUUUUAAUCUUUCUUUUUUUUUUUGUGUCAGACUCUAUCAGUCAUCAGACAGCACUUGGGUCUUGUGGGCAUUUGUGUUUUCCCCCCACCCCGGGUUGCCUGGAACUCACGAUUGCAUCUAAACCACAGUGGGCCCGCCCAAUAUAGGGGCAAAAUUGAACGACUGAAAAAUGGGUCACUCUCGGAGUUCCUGUCCUGGCCCAGUGGUUAACGAAUCCGAAGAGGAACCAUGAGGUUGUGGGUUCAAUCCCUGGCCUUGCUCAGUGGGUUAAGGAUCCGGUGUUGCCAUGAGCUGUGUUGUAGGUAGCAGACGCGGCUCAGAUCCUGCAUUGCUGUGGCUCUGGCAUAGGCCGGUGGCUACAGCUCCGAUUCAACCCCUUGCCUGGGAACCUCCAUAUGCCGUGGGAGCAGCCCAAGAAAAGGCAAAAAGACAAAAAAAUUUUAAAAAUAAAAAUAAUGGGCCACUUGCAUCGCCUGGGUAGAAAAAUCCCAGUAAUUUAUGGAGUAGGACCAUGACGUUCCACCCCUUUCAAGGCUGUAAUGAUUUCCUUCCAAAGAGGACUGUAUGGAAACGGGGAGGACCAGAAUAACUUUGCAGUCGAGAAACCUGACAAACACUCCCUCAGCCGGAUGAUCAAGGCCAGCAGCAACAGUGAUCAGUCAUGGUGACAGCACUGUGCCCUUGAUAGGAUGUGAUGAGAAUGGCACUUUAUUUACCUCCAUGAUCUUCCUCCCCAAACCCAUAACCCCAGUUGAAACAUGAGAGAAAACAUCAAACCCCAAUGGAAGGAAAGCCUAUAAAAUACCUGACCAGGGAGUUCCCGUCAUGGCUCAGUGGUUAACGAAUCUGACUAGGAACCACGAGGUUGCGGUUUUGAUCCCUGGCCUUGCUCAGUGGGUCGAGGAUCCAGCGUUGCCAUGAGCUGUGGUGUAGGUUGCAGAUGCGGCUCGGAUCCCACGUUGCUGUGGCUCUCGCGUAGGUGGGUGGCUACAGCUCCGAUUUGACCCCUAGCCUGGGAACCUCCAUGUGCCGCGGGAGCGGCCCGAGAAAUGGCAAAAAG